This 37-nucleotide ribosomal RNA is filed under the name Dendrobium falconeri. RNAcentral's name for it is "partial 26S ribosomal RNA". The record is from RNAcentral. RNAcentral also lists the same sequence under 2 other names. Lineage: Eukaryota; Viridiplantae; Streptophyta; Magnoliopsida; Asparagales; Orchidaceae.
GCGACCCCAGGAUGGGCGAGGCCACCCGCCGAGUUUA